UGGCGGCAGGCCUAACACAUGCAAGUCGAACGGUAACAGGAAGCAGCUUGCUUCUUCGCUGACGAGUGGCGGACGGGUGAGUAAUGUCUGGGAAACUGCCUGAUGGAGGGGGAUAACUACUGGAAACGGUAGCUAAUACCGCAUAACGUCGCAAGACCAAAGAGGGGGACCUUCGGGCCUCUUGCCAUCGGAUGUGCCCAGAUGGGAUUAGCUUGUGGUGGGGUAACGGCUCACCAGGCGACGAUCCCUAGCUGGUCUGAGAGGAUGACCAGCCACACUGGAACUGAGACACGGUCCAGACUCCUACGGGAGGCAGCAGUGGGGAAUAUUGCACAAUGGGCGCAAGCCUGAUGCAGCCAUGCCGCGUGUAUGAAGAAGGCCUUCGGGUUGUAAAGUACUUUCAGCGGGGAGGAAGGGAGUAAAGUUAAUACCUUUGCUCAUUGACGUUACCCGCAGAAGAAGCACCGGCUAACUCCGUGCCAGCAGCCGCGGUAAUACGGAGGGUGCAAGCGUUAAUCGGAAUUACUGGGCGUAAAGCGCACGCAGGCGGUUUGUUAAGUCAGAUGUGAAAUCCCCGGGCUCAACCUGGGAACUGCAUCUGAUACUGGCAAGCUUGAGUCUCGUAGAGGGGGGUAGAAUUCCAGGUGUAGCGGUGAAAUGCGUAGAGAUCUGGAGGAAUACCCGGUGGCGAAGGCGGCCCCCUGGACGAAGACU
This 714-nucleotide ribosomal RNA is filed under the name Shigella sp. Its description in RNAcentral is "bacterial SSU rRNA". It matches the Rfam family "Bacterial small subunit ribosomal RNA", at positions 37 to 741 of the family's 1533-position model. Lineage: Bacteria; Pseudomonadati; Pseudomonadota; Gammaproteobacteria; Enterobacterales; Enterobacteriaceae. The record is from RNAcentral.